GAAAGUUCCCAACUCUUGUUAGCCACCAAGAGUCUUUGGAAGCCAAAGUGAACGAGACAAAGGCAACAGUGAAGUUCCAGCUCAAGAAGGUUCUUUGCAUGGGUGUCGCCGUUGGGAACCUUGACAUGGAGGAGAAGCAGAUCUUUCAGAAUGUUCAGAUGAGCGUCAACUUCCUCGUCUCACUAUUGAAGAAGAACUGGCAAAACGUGAGGUGUUUGUACUUGAAGAGCACAAUGGGUCCACCUAACCGUGUGUUCUAAGAUUAUUAUUAUCUCAAAGUUUCUCUUAAUGUAUCAUCAAAGGCUGAGAUUAGAUUUGAUUUUCAUUUCUGUCGUGAGCUUUCUUCUUUUUGGUUUACUUCCAGAAUCCUUACUUGGUAGGAUCAAGAUUUUCUUAAAUGACAAUUUUGUUUCUAUUA
Molecule: long non-coding RNA, 418 nt
Organism: Raphanus sativus (radish)
Lineage: Eukaryota; Viridiplantae; Streptophyta; Magnoliopsida; Brassicales; Brassicaceae
Exons: 2
Source: RefSeq, a predicted model, not a curated record